Molecule: unclassified non-coding RNA, 239 nt
Filed under: Hevea brasiliensis (rubber tree)
Lineage: Eukaryota; Viridiplantae; Streptophyta; Magnoliopsida; Malpighiales; Euphorbiaceae
Source: RNAcentral
AUUUGGUCUUGUUUACAAGGCGGAACUUCCUAAUGGCAUAAAGACUGCGAUCAAGAGGCUUUCUGGAGAUUGUGGUCAGAUGGAGCGCGAAUUUCAAGCUGAAGUGGAAGCCCUCUCGAGAGCUCAGCACAAAAACCUGGUAUCCCUUCAAGGUUACUGUCAACACGGGAGUGAUAGAUUGCUGAUAUAUUCUUACAUGGAAAAUGGAAGCUUGGACUAUUGGCUACAUGAAAGAGUCG